CGGCAAACGCUUCACUUGACACAGACGUCAUCAAAGCUCACCUUUAAACAUUCACACAGAGAACCGACAUUUUUUAACAAGGACAAAAUGAUACAAAAAAGGAACUCGCAUGGCUGCAGUUUGUGUGACCCCAAGAUGCAAGAACCAGGAGGAGAAUGAGAAGAGCUGAUGUGAAAACACGCACACCUUGAGACCCAAAUCUAAUCCCCAGCUGUCUGCAUGCAAACAUCCCAAGAGUGAACCCUGGCAGUGGAAGUGGGAACAGCAGCGUCUCCGAGCUGAUUAAGAGAUACUCAGGC
This is a long non-coding RNA of Nerophis lumbriciformis (worm pipefish), 299 nucleotides long. RefSeq lists it as uncharacterized. The record is from RefSeq and is a predicted model, not a curated record. NCBI's taxonomy places the organism in Eukaryota, Metazoa, Chordata, Actinopteri, Syngnathiformes, Syngnathidae.